AUCGUGCUUUGCGGCACGAGUUGUAGAUUGCAGGUUGGAGUCUGUGUGGAAGGCGGUGUCCAAGUCCCUUGGAACAGGGCGCCCAGGAGGGUGAGAGCCCCGUGGGAUGCCGGCGGAAGCAGUGAGGCCCUUCUGACGAGUCGAGUUGUUUGGGAAUGCAGCUCCAAGCGGGUGGUAAAUUCCAUCUAAGGCUAAAUACUGGCGAGAGACCGAUAGCGAACAAGUACUGUGAAGGAAAGAUGAAAAGCACUUUGAAAAGAGAGUGAAACAGCACGUGAAAUUGUUGAAAGGGAAGGGUAUUGCGCCCGACAUGGGGAUUGCGCACCGCUGCCUCUCGUGGGCGGCGCUCUGGGCUUUCCCUGGGCCAGCAUCGGUUCUUGCUGCAGGAGAAGGGGUUCUGGAACGU
RNAcentral lists this ribosomal RNA (406 nucleotides) under Pichia kudriavzevii. Its description in RNAcentral is "partial large subunit ribosomal RNA". It matches the Rfam family "Eukaryotic large subunit ribosomal RNA", at positions 120 to 537 of the family's 3401-position model. Lineage: Eukaryota; Fungi; Ascomycota; Pichiomycetes; Pichiales; Pichiaceae. The record is from RNAcentral.